UCAUAAACUACUUUUGCUGCU
Molecule: non-coding RNA, 21 nt
Organism: Caenorhabditis elegans
Lineage: Eukaryota; Metazoa; Nematoda; Chromadorea; Rhabditida; Rhabditidae
Source: Ensembl